AGCGGAGGAAAAGAAACCAACUGGGAUUACCUUAGUAACGGCGAGUGAAGCGGUAAAAGCUCAAAUUUGAAAUCUGGUACUUUCAGUGCCCGAGUUGUAAUUUGUAGAAUUUGUCUUUGAUUAGGUCCUUGUCUAUGUUCCUUGGAACAGGACGUCAUAGAGGGUGAGAAUCCCGUUUGGCGAGGAUACCUUUUCUCUGUAAGACUUUUUCGAAGAGUCGAGUUGUUUGGGAAUGCAGCUCAAAGUGGGUGGUAAAUUCCAUCUAAAGCUAAAUAUUGGCGAGAGACCGAUAGCGAACAAGUACAGUGAUGGAAAGAUGAAAAGAACUUUGAAAAGAGAGUGAAAAAGUACGUGAAAUUGUUGAAAGGGAAGGGCAUUUGAUCAGACAUGGUGUUUUUUGCAUGCACUCGCCUCUCGUGGGCUUGGGCCUCUCAAAAAUUUCACUGGGCCAACAUCAAUUCUGGCAGCAGGAUAAAUCAUUAAGAAUGUAGCUACUUCGGUAGUGUUAUAGCUUUUUGGAAUACUGUUAGCCGGGAUUGAGGACUGCGCUUCGGCAAGGAUGUUGGCAUAAUGGUUA
This 577-nucleotide ribosomal RNA is filed under the name Hanseniaspora uvarum. RNAcentral's name for it is "eukaryotic LSU rRNA". It matches the Rfam family "Eukaryotic large subunit ribosomal RNA", at positions 49 to 640 of the family's 3401-position model. Lineage: Eukaryota; Fungi; Ascomycota; Saccharomycetes; Saccharomycodales; Saccharomycodaceae. The record is from RNAcentral.